UCUGCCCCCUCCAGAGCCCGGCGCCAGCGGCUGCUGGCCGGGCCUCAGGGCUGGGCGGGCACGGGAGGCCGGGGCUGGCCGCAGACAGCGCCCGACCGAGGGGCAGAGCCCGCACCAACCCUUCCCUCCUGCCGCUCUCUCCAGCUGGCACAGGACAGGAACCGAGCGGUUGAGGACCUGCGCCGGGCCCUGCCGUACCUGCAGAGCCCACAGGAGUCCCUGCGAGCGGCGGCCAUCAGGUUCAUCGAGAUGGUCGAGGUACCCAUGAGGGGGCAGCAGGAAGAGCUCUAGGCCUUCAGUAAGGCCUUUUAAGCCCUGAGGAGGAAUGACAGCCCUUCCCAGACAAACAUAGUAGUUCAACUGAUAUUCAGUGAAAGAGCUGCAGAAGUAGGCUCAUCUGCUGGCUCAGAAGAAACAGUGUUCAUUUAAGACCUCCAGAUGCCAUGGAAGAUGAGAAUACCUUGACACCAGAAGAGACCAGCUGGAGCUCCAGGCACAGCUAAUGACUGGCACAGCUGAGCCUGUGGGAAGCUCAUGUGGCUUCAGCCCUCUCCCUGCCUGUAGAUAGUUCCCUCCCUGCAGCCCUCAGACACUGCCUACUCCUUCUUUUUCCCUUCCACUCUCCCUCCUUUUUGACAGCUCCAUCCCCCCAGCCCUCAGACUGUGCCACCCCCUUUUUUGCCUCUCAACUCAUCCCUUUGCUUUGUCUUCCAGCAAUAAACAGUUUGGCUUUUUCACUUAACCUGCAUCUGUGUGGAGCUGAAGGGUCACAAUUCUGGAGUUCUGUGACACAAAUCCUGAGCCCUGAGACACGCAGGCCCCUCCUGCUGUUCUCUUCUGCACUGUGUUUUGUUCAGAGACGCAGAGGAACGAGCGCAGAUCAGGCUGGAUAGGUCCCUGUGCUGAAGGUCCAGUUCCACAACAUUGUGGAGUUAAAGGUCUUGCUGAGUACCCUGAGCCUUGGAUUUUGGAAGAGCCAAGCUGAGUAUGCCCUGAACCCCGCUGUGAGGGGUUCUGUGUCAAGCAUCCACAGAUGGCAAAGGAGCUUAGAAUGCCUGAGGCUUUCAAGAAUAGCUUCCUGAAAGCACAGUAAUGCUCCAUCCCUGCUCAGGAUCAGGAAGAGGGCAGAACCAGAGAGCAUCUGGGCUUAACAGGGAGCUGUGGGUGUGUCUAAGAGCAAAUGAAGCAGCAGCACAGUGGCCGAGACUCGGACGCACAACCCUGCUGGCGUCCGGAGCGCUGUCAGGCAGUGCCGGGAUCCCGGGUUUGGUUCUGGGCCCCACAACUGAGGAACUGCAGCCCCUGCCUCAGAGCCUGUCAGAAAGCCAAGCAAGUGAGACCAGAGGGAGGGCAUCCUUCCAGUCUCUCUUGGGCAUGGCCGCAAAACAGCUCCUGCUCCUUCUUCCUCCGCCUCUGUUUGGGCCCUGCUGUUACAAACGGAGACAAGUUUAGACAAGUUCUGCCUUUGUCUCAGCUUUGUGGCAGCAGCUCAUUUUGAGGCAGCCUGCACCCCAAAUGUCUCUCAUUCACAAGUUCUUAAGAAUGGCUGAUUAGGUUUAUUAUAAAAUUAAUUCUUUAUUGAAUUGACAAAGGAUUAACAGACAUCAGACUUUAGAUAGACCACUUAGUACAUAGGACAAAACAAAAAGAGCCACUACUAGAUCAAAAAUACAGGAC
Molecule: long non-coding RNA, 1677 nt
Organism: Poecile atricapillus (Black-capped chickadee)
Lineage: Eukaryota; Metazoa; Chordata; Aves; Passeriformes; Paridae
Exons: 3
Source: RefSeq, a predicted model, not a curated record